RNAcentral lists this ribosomal RNA (468 nucleotides) under uncultured bacterium. RNAcentral describes it as "partial 16S ribosomal RNA". It matches the Rfam family "Bacterial small subunit ribosomal RNA", at positions 28 to 507 of the family's 1533-position model. The record is from RNAcentral.
GACGAACGCUGGCGGCGUGCUUAACACAUGCAAGUCGAACGGAAAGGCCCUGCUUUUGUGGGGUGCUCGAGUGGCGAACGGGUGAGUAACACGUGAGUAACCUGCCCUUGACUUUGGGAUAACUUCAGGAAACUGGGGCUAAUACCGGAUAGGAGCUCCUGCUGCAUGGUGGGGGUUGGAAAGUUUCGGCGGUUGGGGAUGGACUCGCGGCUUAUCAGCUUGUUGGUGGGGUAGUGGCUUACCAAGGCUUUGACGGGUAGCCGGCCUGGGAGGGUGACCGGCCACAUUGGGACUGAGAUACGGCCCAGACUCCUACGGGAGGCAGCAGUGGGGAAUAUUGCGCAAUGGGCGGAAGCCUGAUGCAGCAACGCCGCGUGCGUGAUGACGUCCUUCGGGUUGUAAACCGCUUUCGCCUGUGACGAAGCGUGAGUGACGGUAAUGGGUAAAGAAGCACCGGCUAACUACGUG